UACGGAGGGUGCGAGCGUUGUCCGGAAUCACUGGGCGUAAAGGGCGCGUAGGCGGCGCGGUAAGUAGGGGGUGAAAUCCUGCGGCUCAACCGCAGAAUUGCCUUCUAGACUGCCGUGCUUGAGCACAGUAGAGGCAGACGGAAUUCCCGGUGUAGCGGUGGAAUGCGUAGAGAUCGGGAAGAACACCGGUGGCGAAGGCG
This 200-nucleotide ribosomal RNA is filed under the name uncultured bacterium. RNAcentral's name for it is "partial 16S ribosomal RNA". It matches the Rfam family "Bacterial small subunit ribosomal RNA", at positions 524 to 723 of the family's 1533-position model. The record is from RNAcentral.